RNAcentral lists this ribosomal RNA (301 nucleotides) under uncultured bacterium. Its description in RNAcentral is "partial 16S ribosomal RNA". It matches the Rfam family "Bacterial small subunit ribosomal RNA", at positions 509 to 807 of the family's 1533-position model. The record is from RNAcentral.
CAGUAGCCGCGGUAAUACGUAGGGUGCGAGCGUUAAUCGGAAUUACUGGGCGUAAAGCGAGCGCAGACGGUUAUUUAAGCAGGAUGUGAAAUCCCCGGGCUUAACCUGGGAACUGCGUUCUGAACUGGAUAGCUAGAGUGUGUCAGAGGGGGGUAGAAUUCCACGUGUAGCAGUGAAAUGCGUAGAGAUGUGGAGGAAUACCGAUGGCGAAGGCAGCCCCCUGGGAUAACACUGACGUUCAUGCUCGAAAGCGUGGGUAGCAAACAGGAUUAGAUACCCGCGUAGUCCCUGUCUCUUAUAC